GACGAACGCUGGCGGCGUGCUUAACACAUGCAAGUCGAACGGUGAACCUGCUUCGGUGGGGGAUCAGUGGCGAACGGGUGAGUAACACGUGGGCAACCUGCCCUCAGCUCUGGGAUAACUCCAAGAAAUUGGGGCUAAUACUGGAUAUGACCGCUGACUGCAUGGUCUGGUGGUGGAAAGAUUUAUCGGCUGGGGAUGGGCUCGAGGCCUAUCAGCUUGUUGGUGGGGUAGUGGCCUACCAAGGCGACGACGGGUAGCCGGCCUGAGAGGGUGCCCGGCCCCACUGGGACUGAGACACGACCCAGACUCGUACGGGAGGCAGCGGUGGGGAAUAUUGCGCAAUAGGCGGGAGGCUGGCGCAACGACGCCGCGUGGGGUAUGACGGCCAGCGGGUUGUAAACCUAUGUCAUCAGAGACGAGGCGAAAGUGACGGUACCGGCAGAAGAAGCACCGGCUAACUACGUG
This 465-nucleotide ribosomal RNA is filed under the name uncultured bacterium. RNAcentral's name for it is "partial 16S ribosomal RNA". It matches the Rfam family "Bacterial small subunit ribosomal RNA", at positions 28 to 507 of the family's 1533-position model. The record is from RNAcentral.